This 301-nucleotide ribosomal RNA is filed under the name uncultured bacterium. RNAcentral describes it as "partial 16S ribosomal RNA". It matches the Rfam family "Bacterial small subunit ribosomal RNA", at positions 509 to 809 of the family's 1533-position model. The record is from RNAcentral.
CAGUAGCCGCGGGAAUACGUAGGGUGCAAGCGUUAAUCGGAAUUACUGGGCGUAAAGCGUGCGCAGGCGGUUAUAUAAGACAGAUGUGAAAUCCCCGGGCUCAACCUGGGAACUGCAUUUGUGACUGUAUAGCUAGAGUACGGCAGAGGGGGAUGGAAUUCCGCGUGUAGCAGUGGAAUGCGUAGAUAUGCGGAGGAACACCGAUGGCGAAGGCAAUCCCCUGGGCCUGUACUGACGCUCAUGCACGAAAGCGUGGGGAGCAAACAGGAUUAGAUACCCGAGUAGUCCCUGUCUCUUAUAA